UAGGAGGUAAGAAGGGCAUAUGUGAUACCCAUAUGCCCAGUAUUCUACACAUCUUUCAUGCUCUUCCUUUCCUUCAGGGAGGUUCAAUAGUGGCCUCAGAAUGGCCUUGGAAACCAAGAUUGAAGUCAAGGAUUCAUAAUCUUGCCCAAGACUCUGAAUGACUCCAUGGAACCAACUGUGUGUUUUUCAAGCCUGAAAAUGCAAGUCCAGGACUGUUUUAUAUUCCUUAGGAACUUCUUUAGUUUAAGAUGGGAUACAGCUGGGGCUAUGAACUGCAGUUCCAUCUAGUUCCACAAUCACAUGGAGAAUACCAGUGUUCCACAAUGAAGGCGCUUACUCAGAUACGGUGUUUCUUAGAUAAUCUUCCACCCCUUGUCUAGAAGCAGUCAGCAGGCAGUGAACUCAGACACUACAGGGCAAUUGUCACAGUGACUGUGACAGCGUGCACGAGACCUGUCCAUGCAUGAAGUCCCACCACCUAGCUGAGGAGCUUGGAAAGGGAGAGCCAGUUUCCCCACAUCAAUUCCUAUCUUCUGGCUCCUGCCUCAAGUUCCUGCCUGAUCGCCAUGUGAUGGAUUGUCACCUGGAGUUGUAUAAUGAAAUAAACUCUUUCCUCCAUGA
Molecule: non-coding RNA, 621 nt
Organism: Cricetulus griseus (Chinese hamster)
Lineage: Eukaryota; Metazoa; Chordata; Mammalia; Rodentia; Cricetidae
Source: RefSeq, a predicted model, not a curated record